CACAAAUGUAUGUCAUAUCUUUUCUUACAGAUUCGUAUUGGAGAAUAAAGUUGUCCUGGAAUCAACAAAAUGUUCAUAUUACUCUACAAAGACCAUCAUUUUUUGUUAAUAUGAAACCUUAUGAAUCGUAUUUCGUUAAAUAUGCACGUCUCCCAGCCGCGCGUCACCACCUCUCUUCCGUCCAUUUGAGAAGCUUCGCCAUUCACCACGACGCCGCUGAGCCGUCGCCAUCUAUUUCUUUGCAAAGUUCGAUAGAUAGAUUAGAUAGAUAGAUAGUGCACUAAAAGAGAACAAAUUCAUAAGAAAAGUAAUGUAUACACCUGAUAUCCCAACUCCCAAGAAUCAAACUGUGGUAAAACAAAACUAAUACAUACCAUGGCUAUCCAACAGCACAUAGUAGUGACAAAUCUGAACCGGGUCCCCUUCCCUUAGGAUAUGAUAUACCUUCAGGCCGAUUAACUCUAGGUGUUCUAUGAAUUCUGAAAGUCUGAAUCAACUCAUGUGCAACUUUUGACGAUGGUGCAAAUGGAGAGGCAUCACAAGAUUGGAUCCUUAUCCUGCUAUAUAACUGUAGUACAGUUAAAGCAAAUAAGCUAAGGAAUUGGACAGCAGGAUGAAGGUGCACCACACCAUCCAAUUCUGAAAAGGUGGCGGCUAAUGGUCUUCCUUGUUGAAUCCAUAAGGACUAUGCUUUUCUAUCCUUGAACUAAGCUGAAACUCGAGCUCUAAAAUCUGAACGAAAAAACUUGAUUUCUUGGAAGGAGGGUCACUGCUCCAAAUCGUGUUGCCUCGCCCAUACAUCACCGAAGCUGGGGCACACAUUGGAGCAGUGGCAUUUGCGACGCCCAGCAGCGGGGUCACAUCUCAUCCCCAUCAGUUCAAAUCAAAACAGAACGCAAAUUAGCCCAAACAGUUAGAAGACUUAUUUAAACCGCACAUGGUGCACUCAGACAUAAGAGAAGACCCAAGCAGAGCGAUCAAGCCAUGCAAUUCUAGUUAUUAAAAUACUAAUUAGUUAUUGUAUCUAGACGGACAGUCUUAUGUAAAACGUUUAGAUUUACGUAGUAGUUUGCAAGGAGCAUAUACAUACUAUUUUUCAAAUGGGGUGUAUACAAGUAUACAACUGAUACUACUUUAACUGAAAACAUCAGAGAGCAUGUUUUAAUUCAUUCAUGAUCUCUGCAUUUUAUUUAGAAACAAGCAUGCACCAAGAUACUCACAUAGAGAGCAGAAUCCUCUCUUUCACAGUACUAUUGUUUCAUCUAGCUCUAACAUAUCCUCUCUUUCUCCCUUUUAAUAAGUAGUAUAGUUGAUGCUAUACAGACUUAAGAAGUAAGUAGUUGAUGACAGAUACAAAUCGAUGACACUGUAGUAUGUACCUCAGGUCAGACGAAGUUUCGGCAGAUAGUAGAGUAUGUGCAGACAGAUUUCCGGCGAAGUCGGCGGUGUACAGCCACAGCGCUAUCGGAAACUUGAGGCGUGAAGAUGAGCCAAAUAACUGCAGAUUAUUCCAGAGAGUUAGAACACGAAAAACUAUUUGACCUUGCAAUAAAAUAGAAAGGGUUCGGCGAUGUGCACAUCUCUCUUUGCUCUCUCUCUCUCUCUCUCUCUCUCUCUCUACCUCACCUCUUUUUUCACCACAAGUUACAAAACCAAAUAACUGAAUUUGUUGGCCCUGUACAUCAUUUAAAGAUUAAAAGAAACUCAAAUCCAAGAUCAGUUGUCGUUCAUGACCUCUACAUUUUAUACAGAAACAAGAAUGCACCAAGAUACUCACAUAGAAAGCAGAAUCCUCUGUUUCACAGGGCUAUUGUUUCAUCUAUCUCUAACAUAUCAUCUAUUUCUCCCUUUUAAUAAGUAGUAUAGUUGACGACAUACAUACUUAAGAAGUAAGUAGUUGAUGACAGAUACAAAUUGAUGACACUGUAGUAUGUACCUCAGGUCAGACAAAGUUUCGGCGGACAGUAGAGUAUGUGCAGAAGGAUUUCCGGCGAAGUCGACGGUGUACAGCCACGGCGCUGUUGGAAACUUGAGGCGCGACGAUGAACCAAAUAACUGCAGACUAUCCCAAAGAGUUAGAACACGAAAAACUAUUUGACCUUGCAAUAGAAUGGAAAGGGUUAGGUGAUGUGCACGGUCAUAUGCAUGAAAGCAUCGAAUUUGUUUACAUGUAACAUCAGCAGUAUAUACAUGUAGUCGCCUCCAAAAUUGACCAUAUGAGCUUUCAAAUGAAAGGACAAAAAUGAAAAAGGAACAUAUAAGAAAUGUGAGUUAUAUAGUAUUUUAUUACCAACAUGGCAUCACUCAAAGAUAAUACUUGUCAAAGAACAGCUUGAUCAGGCACAAAGACCUAGACAUGUGAAAGAGAAGGGAAUCAACACAUAAAAUUUAACCUGAAUCUACCUCAACCAUGAGCAAGUACGAGCACUGCUCCUUGCCUUGAGUAAGUGCUUGCUCUGGCUUAGUUUGCCCCAGCACAACAGAGAUCAUUCCCUGGAUGGCAUAUAUUUAAUAUACGUUCUCCUCCUAGUACUAAAAAUAGGACUACAUGGCUUCCUAGCGAGUUAAAGCUAACAUAGAUCAGAGAGCAAACUAAUUUCACCAAUUUAUCACUGUAAUCUCUAUUGAAUGCAACACUUUGCCACAUCUUGUAUUAUCUAUAUGGCAUUGCUAAAGUGAUUCUAAUCUGAAAAAAGAAUAAAAAAAUCCAACUUUGCCAUGUUAAACAGCAUCCAUAGUAUUGCAUGAUGUAGUGACCCAAAAUUAGUAGCACUAUAAUUGGAUGGUUCAAACUCAUGUGCCAGAUGUCCUAAAAGUUCAGACUUGUAUUCACAAAAUAAGGAAAUUCAACAAUAUAUCUUCAAAUGUAACUAUGGAUGGAUUGAACAACCAAAUUGCUACCUGAUAGAGCAAAAUUCCAUAUGCUUUCUGUUUUUUAAACCGAGUUCGGGGUGGAUUCCAUAUUCUAACUGCACUUUACGGGAAUGGAUCUACAAUCAUAUUAAGAGAUUCCCUUCAUCUUGAGCUGGUGCUUCAGCUGUUGGAACACUUAAGCUCAGAUCUUCAGUAUGAUUUUCUUUAAGUGUAGGAUCGAACAAAACC
This 3102-nucleotide long non-coding RNA is filed under the name Triticum aestivum (bread wheat). Its description in RNAcentral is "long non-coding RNA (TAES_LNC015503)". The record is from RNAcentral. Lineage: Eukaryota; Viridiplantae; Streptophyta; Magnoliopsida; Poales; Poaceae.